This 424-nucleotide ribosomal RNA is filed under the name Verrucomicrobiota bacterium. Its description in RNAcentral is "Verrucomicrobia bacterium partial 16S ribosomal RNA". It matches the Rfam family "Bacterial small subunit ribosomal RNA", at positions 355 to 776 of the family's 1533-position model. The record is from RNAcentral. Lineage: Bacteria; Pseudomonadati; Verrucomicrobiota.
UGAGGAAUAUUGGUCAAUGGACGAGAGUCUGAACCAGCCAAGUAGCGUGCAGGAUGACGGCCCUAUGGGUUGUAAACUGCUUUUGUUUGGGAAUAGUCGACAUUACGUGUAAUGUUUUGCAUGUACCAUUCGAAUAAGGACCGGCUAAUUCCGUGCCAGCAGCCGCGGUAAUACGGAAGGUCCAGGCGUUAUCCGGAUUUAUUGGGUUUAAAGGGAGUGUAGGCGGUUGGUUAAGCGUGUUGUGAAAUGUAGAUGCUCAACAUCUGACUUGCAGCGCGAACUGGCUGACUUGAGUACACACAACGUAGGCGGAAUUCAUGGUGUAGCGGUGAAAUGCUUAGAUAUCAUGAAGAACUCCGAUUGCGAAGGCAGCUUACGGGAGUGUUACUGACGCUUAAGCUCGAAGGUGCGGGUAUCGAACAGG